CCCAGCGGUGGUGUGUUUUUAUUCGAUGCACGCGAAAACCUUUCUACCCUUGACAUGUCAGGAAUCUUGCAGAGAUGUGAGAGUGCUCGAAAGAGAACCUGAACACAGGUGCUGCAUGGCCGUCGUCAGCUCGUGUCGUGAGAUGUUGGGUUAAGUCCCGCAACGAGCGCAACCCUUGUCAUUAGUUGCUACGAAAGGGCACUCUAAUGAGACUGCCGGUGACAAACCGGAGGAAGGUGGGGAUGACGUCAGGUCAUCAUGGCCCUUAUGGGUAGGGCUACACACGUCAUACAAUGGCCGGGACAGAGGGCUGCCAACCCGCGAGGGGGAGCUAAUCCCAGAAACCCGGUCGUAGUCCGGAUCGCAGUCUGCAACUCGACUGCGUGAAGUCGGAAUCGCUAGUAAUCGCGGAUCAGCUUGCCGCGGUGAAUACGUUCCCGGGUCUUGUACACACCGCCCG
RNAcentral lists this ribosomal RNA (460 nucleotides) under Roseateles sp. CK15. Its description in RNAcentral is "bacterial SSU rRNA". It matches the Rfam family "Bacterial small subunit ribosomal RNA", at positions 925 to 1396 of the family's 1533-position model. Lineage: Bacteria; Pseudomonadati; Pseudomonadota; Betaproteobacteria; Burkholderiales; Sphaerotilaceae. The record is from RNAcentral.